GUUUUUAUAGCUUAAAUAAAGCGAGAGAUUUUUAAUCUUUAGAUGCAGUAGUUGCUGGAAGCG
This 63-nucleotide transfer RNA is filed under the name Tapes dorsatus. RNAcentral describes it as "tRNA-Lys". It matches the Rfam family "tRNA". From Rfam's summary of the family: Transfer RNA (tRNA) molecules are approximately 80 nucleotides in length. Their secondary structure includes four short double-helical elements and three loops (D, anti-codon, and T loops). Lineage: Eukaryota; Metazoa; Mollusca; Bivalvia; Venerida; Veneridae. The record is from RNAcentral. RNAcentral also lists the same sequence under 1 other name.